GUUAAGCGACUAAGCGUACACGGUGGAUGCCCUGGCAGUCAGAGGCGAUGAAGGACGUGCUAAUCUGCGAUAAGCGUCGGUAAGGUGAUAUGAACCGUUAUAACCGGCGAUUUCCGAAUGGGGAAACCCAGUGUGAUUCGUCACACUAUCAUUAACUGAAUCCAUAGGUUAAUGAGGCGAACCGGGGGAACUGAAACAUCUAAGUACCCCGAGGAAAAGAAAUCAACCGAGAUUCCCCCAGUAGCGGCGAGCGAACGGGGAGCAGCCCAGAGCCUGAAUCAGUGUGUGUGUUAGUGGAAGCGUCUGGAAAGGCGCGCGAUACAGGGUGACAGCCCCGUACACAAAAAUGCACAUAUUGUGAGCUCGAUGAGUAGGGCGGGACACGUGGUAUCCUGUCUGAAUAUGGGGGGACCAUCCUCCAAGGCUAAAUACUCCUGACUGACCGAUAGUGAACCAGUACCGUGAGGGAAAGGCGAAAAGAACCCCGGCGAGGGGAGUGAAAAAGAACCUGAAACCGUGUACGUACAAGCAGUGGGAGCACGCUUCGGCG
This 550-nucleotide ribosomal RNA is filed under the name Escherichia coli. Its description in RNAcentral is "partial 23S ribosomal RNA". It matches the Rfam family "Bacterial large subunit ribosomal RNA", at positions 1 to 591 of the family's 2925-position model. Lineage: Bacteria; Pseudomonadati; Pseudomonadota; Gammaproteobacteria; Enterobacterales; Enterobacteriaceae. The record is from RNAcentral.